This 481-nucleotide ribosomal RNA is filed under the name uncultured bacterium. Its description in RNAcentral is "bacterial SSU rRNA". It matches the Rfam family "Bacterial small subunit ribosomal RNA", at positions 38 to 518 of the family's 1533-position model. The record is from RNAcentral.
GUUCACUGAAUGGUAGAGAGGCGGCGAGUCAGGAAAUGGACGUCGGAUUUCUACUGUUGAGUGAAUAGAGUGCUAGUGGCGGACGGGUGAGUAACGCGUGAGUAACCUGCCGUGCAGUGGGGAAUAACACACCGAAAGGUGUGCUAAUACCGCAUGAAGUGCCGAGAUCGCAUGGUUUUGGCACCAAAGAUUUAUCGCUGUACGAUGGGCUCGCGUCUGAUUAGAUAGUUGGUGAGGUAAAUGGCUCACCAAGUCGACGAUCAGUAGCCGGACUGAGAGGUUGAACGGCCACAUUGGGACUGAGACACGGCCCAGACUCCUACGGGAGGCAGCAGUGGGGGAUAUUGCACAAUGGGCGCAAGCCUGAUGCAGCGACGCCGCGUGAGGGAAGACGGUCUUCGGAUUGUAAACCUCUGUCAUUGGGGACGAUAAUGACGGUACCCAAUGAGGAAGCUCCGGCUAACUACGUGCCAGCAGCUGC